Molecule: long non-coding RNA, 1280 nt
Organism: Camelus dromedarius (Arabian camel)
Lineage: Eukaryota; Metazoa; Chordata; Mammalia; Artiodactyla; Camelidae
Exons: 2
Source: RefSeq, a predicted model, not a curated record
CACCGCCCGCCAGCGCCGGGCCCCCUCCCCUCGCGGUGGGCUCGUCACCGCCGCAGAGUCUGCUCCUGAAUCCCGGCCCGGCCCGGGUGAGAACGAGGGCUGGGCCUGGGGCCCCGAGAAAGGCCACGCGGGCUGGGCGCCGCGGGGCAGCCCCCGCCCGACCCGCCCUCCCUGGCUCCCAUCUGCGACGGCGGGCGGACCAACAGGUAACGCGGGGACUUGUCUGGGACGUUGCUGGAGAGAUGCGGGCAGGCGUCCGGUGAGCCGCCCGCCCCGUCGGAAAGCGCACUAGCUGGAGUCCGCAGCAGCCCUUGGGGGCGGGAAGCGCGAGGCGCAGCGUGACCCGCCCAGGAGACGCGCGAGCUGAGGGUGCUGCGCGCCCUUUACCCACGCCCGUGGGAUCCUCGCCAAUACCUUACAGAAGAGACGAACUCUGAGGCCGCGAUCCUCCGGACGCACAGCUGGAGUGUCAGGGAUGGAGCUCUUGCUGCGACCAUGAGCCAGACGGAAGCUUGGGGAGUAUUUGGAGGAUGAGGAUGGUGAUGACGCUGUCUGAACUGCCUGAACCUUUAUGGCAGCAUCAGCAGAACAGACAGAAUCCCCUGUUUUUAUAGAAGAGACAGAGGUAUGGACGGUUCCAUAACUCUCUGUGCAGGUGGGAGCCAGUUAUAUCCCUGCCCACCACUGGACCUUCACUCCUCAUACACUUCCAGCCCAGUGCCCCUCAUCACCUCGUGGAAAACCACACCAAAAGGUCAGAAGAAGCUUGAAAACAAAGACACACCCAUAGCUUCAGCCCACGAGAAAACCUCGGCACAUGCUGGUCAGAAGCUGAAGAACAGAGGAAGACAAGUGCUGUAUGAUCUCACUUAUAUGUGGAAUCUAAACUAAAAACAAAGACAAACUUACAGAAAAAGCGAUCAGAUUUACCAGAGGAGGGUGAGGAGGUGGAAUGGGUGGAAGGUGGUGAAAAGGUACAAGCUUCCACGUAUAAGAUAAAGAAGUACUAGGGAUGUCAUGUACAAUGUGAUAAGUAUAAUUAACACACUGUGUGUCAUAUGUGAAAGUCAUUAAGGGAGUAGGUCUUGAGUUCUCAUCACAAGGAAAUAUCUUUUUUUCUCUUUUUGCUUUUUUAUUGUAUUCAAGGAGAUGGUGGGUGCUAGCUGAACUUACUGCAGUCAUCAUUUCACCAAACCUGUGAGUCAAACCCUGUUGUACACUGUACACUUGCACAGCACUGUGUGUUAGUUGUAUCUCAAUAAAACUAGAGAAGAAAGAAA